This is a long non-coding RNA of Leucoraja erinaceus (little skate), 3017 nucleotides long. RefSeq lists it as uncharacterized. The transcript has 3 exons. NCBI's taxonomy places the organism in Eukaryota, Metazoa, Chordata, Chondrichthyes, Rajiformes, Rajidae. The record is from RefSeq and is a predicted model, not a curated record.
UGAGGUUCUUGGUUCUUGGUUUCUUGGUCCUCCAAAAUAUUCCAAAUGGAAUUUAAACUGGAGGUGGUGAAGGGAGGGCUUAAGCCAGAAAGGGUUAUUGGGAAGAAAGAGCUACUUUAAAUUUAGUUGCAUCUGGUUGGGUAGCUAUAGUUGGGUGGUGAUUAUUCAAUGCUUUAAUUGUGCGGGGGAAGAACAAAUUGCUGUAUACAUCUGUCUUUGUAGCUGGGAUCACAAAUUGGAUUGAAUGCCCUUGUCUGCUCCUAAUUAGUUUGGGUUUGGUGUAGGUCUUGUUGUCUAUGUCGAGCUGACCAUUUAACAUUUUGUAAAAACAGGUCAAACGGUGAGCUUCAUGUCUGUCUUGGAGAGGGUUCCACCCCAGAGAAUUCAGAAGUUUGGUGACACUCGCUUCUCUCUCAUAGGUGUUAGUAACAAAUCAAGCUGCCUGUCUUUGGACACGUUCGAUGGAAGAAAUGUUUUUAUUUGUGUAUGGGUCCGAUGCUGCAACUGCGUAGUCCAAAUGAGUUUUGGAAUGUUUCUGGAUGUUUUACGAAGUCAUUCAAGCCCAGAAUCUUCUUGAUGAAUGUCCAGAGUUCUAACCAGAACUGCGGAUGCUUACUUGUUUAAAAAGAGGUAUCAUGCCAAAGAAUUGCCACUUGGAUGCUGUGCCACUGUGGAACUGGCAAGGGAUCUCAACCCUAACGACUUCAAAGGAGACUGCAGCACGCGAUGCUCACUCUCAUGCGAAACACAUUGGAAACUCGCUGUCCCUCUGCAAAUGCCAGGAUGCGUCAUGAUCCACAACCCAGGCUUUGAUGAAAAUCUACCAGCUCGAUCUGGAUGAAAGCUACAAAGAGUUUGAGCUUUCAUUGUCGGCAGGGUGAACUACCCCAACCCGCGAGACAAUGAAAAGUAACCACAACAUUUCACUUUAUUAGAUCACAUAUGGAUUCAAUUAUUUUCCUUGCCAUCUCCAUCUGGUGAAGAACCUAUUUAAAUUCCAAAAUAGAACACUGAGAUAAUGUGACAGGGAGUCAGUAUGCAUUUUUAUAAUAAAGAAUCCUGGUGGUUUGGAUUUGAGAUGGAAUAGGCUUCCAACACGACUCAAUGCUUUCUAUAAACAGAAAGACUAAGAGUGAAGUUGUUACUGAAAUGCUUGUAAUCUUGAUGCAUUGAUGUAAAUAGCCAGAAGAGGUGGGCUAUUACCAUUUCCAUCGCCUUCCAGUAUAAAACAGAAACACACACAUUGUUCAGCAUAAUGAUUUGAUUCCAAUACCUCAAAUUACUCUCUCCUUUGCAAUGUUGGUCUCUAGUAUCCAAGCACGUUGCCCAGCAACCACCUUGCACACAUUGAGGAAAGCAGCAGCUCAAAACUGCAAAUGAUAAACUGCAAAGGAUUUAGGAAAACAAUCUGGCCACCAUGCUUUCAAAAAUGCUGAAUGAUCAGUUAACAAUGCCUAACGAUUUUUAAAUAAUGUAUUGUUAAGAGUGAGCCAAUUGAUUUGUGAAAUCAUUUUGUUCUUCAAGCAUCGAAACACAAUUAAAGUUCACUACAAAGAAUACACAGAGUCACAGAGUCACACAAUGUGGAAACAGGUCCUUCAGCCCAACUUGCCCACACCAACCAAUAUGUCCCAUCUUCACUUGUCCCGCCUGCCUGUAUUCGGCCCAUAUCCUUCUAAGAUAUAAAAAAAAGAAACAUAUUAAAAAAACACACUUUCUGCUCAGGCACUUCUUGAGUUGUUUAAUAAUUUCCUUAAGGUUUUUGCCAUAGGAUUCACACUCCCUUAGGCCGAUUUAUUUGCCUGUGUCUAUGACUCCAUUGCCUGAAGGCAGCUCCCAAAGUCCAAGUGUGAUAUGUUCUCUAGGUAUCCUGGCACAUGUCUCUUGCUCAAUCAGCAGGGCAGAAUUCUUUAUUUCAACGGCAUCUGUGUAAAUUUGCACUGCACAAGCUGGCAAGUAGAUUUAAUUACAAAUCAUAAUCAAAGUUCAUAAGUAAUUCAUUAACUGUGAAAUAUUCUGGAACAUUCUAAGGUCAUGAAAGAUGCUUUUGUGAGUUUCUUUUUCUUUAUAAUCUGUUGCAGCUUGACUAAAGCCUUUAUUAUCCAGCCUGCUGGCAUUAUUAAACAGUGAUUAUACUGCCUAGCCAUAGUGUUGGAUUCCUCAAGUAAAAAAAUAACUCAAAUUUACUUUCAGACUUUAACAUAGUAAAACAUCCCGAGAGGAAGGGUAUUCCACAGACUUGUGGCUUGCUGCAUGUUGCUGAGCCUAGCUCGGCAAAAUUGGCAACACAUUAAGUCAAUGGACAAAGAUCUUCAGCGGGAUGAGAGGAGGGUCUCUGACCACAGUGAAUGUACCACCUACAGUUGUGUGCAACAGAUUCGUCAGCAACAGGUCAGUGAUGUGUUCUUGCAGAAGCAUUCUUGCUGAACAAAUUGCACUUUGCAGAAAAGCAAGAUCUCAAUAUGAUUUUUAAAUUCUGAUCAUGGACAGGACAGGUUUGGAGGGAUAUGGGUCAAUCGCAGGCAGGUGGGACGAGUGUAGCUGGGACAUAGAAACAUAGAAACAUGGAAAAUAGGUGCUGGAGGAGGCCAUUCAUUGUGAUCAUGGCUGAUCGUCCCCAAUCAAUAACCCGUGCCUGCCUUCUCCCCAUAUCCCUUGAUUCCACUAGCCCCUGGAGCUCUAUCUAACUCUCUUAAAUCCAUCCAGUGAUUUGGCCUCCACUGCCCUCUGUGGCAGGGAAUUCUACAAAUUCACAACUCUGUGGGUGAAAAAGUUUUUUUCUCACCUCAGUCUUAAAUGGCCUCCCUUUUAUUCUAAGACUGUGGCACCUGGUUCUGGACUCACCCAACAUUGGGAAAAAUUUUCCUGCAUCUAGCUUGUCCAGUCCUUUUAUAAUUUUAUAUGUUCCUAUAAGAUCCCCCCUCAUCCUUCUAAACUCCAGUGAAUACAAGCCUAGUCUUUUCUACAUGUUAGCCGGUGUGGGCAAGUUGGAUCGAGGGGCCUGUUUCCACAAUGUG